ACAUUAUCUUCGGAUAAUAAGUAAACUGGCGAACGGGUGAGUAACGCGUAAACAACUUGCCUCAGAGAUUGGGACAACAUUGGGAAACCAGUGCUAAUACCAAAUAAUGCAGCGGGCUCUUCGGAGCACAGUUGUUAAAGUAGGCUUCGGCUUACACUUUGAGAUAGGUUUGCGUCCGAUUAGUUAGUUGGUAGGGUAAAAGCCUACCAAGACCAAGAUCGGUAGCUGGUCUGAGAGGAUGAUCAGCCACACUGGAAUUGAGAUACGGUCCAGACUCCUACGGGAGGCAGCAGUAAGGAAUUUUGCACAAUGGGCGAAAGCCUGAUGCAGCAACGCCGCGUGAACGAUGAAGUUUUUAGGAAUGUAAAGUUCUGUCGUAUGGGAAGAGAUCUUUCGAAUGUUAAUACCAUUCGUUAAUGACGGUACCAUACAAGAAAGCACCGG
RNAcentral lists this ribosomal RNA (444 nucleotides) under uncultured bacterium. RNAcentral's name for it is "bacterial SSU rRNA". It matches the Rfam family "Bacterial small subunit ribosomal RNA", at positions 71 to 496 of the family's 1533-position model. The record is from RNAcentral.